RNAcentral lists this ribosomal RNA (403 nucleotides) under uncultured bacterium. Its description in RNAcentral is "partial 16S ribosomal RNA". It matches the Rfam family "Bacterial small subunit ribosomal RNA", at positions 28 to 526 of the family's 1533-position model. The record is from RNAcentral.
GACGAACGCUGGCGGCGUGCCUAAUACAUGCAAGUCGAACGCAGUGGCGACGGGUGAGUAACACGUGGGUAACCUUCCAUCAGAGGGGAUAACACUUGGAAACAGGUGCUAAACCGAUACUGACGGAUGGACUCGCGGUGCAUUAGCUAGUUGGUGAGGCAACGGGUCACCAGGGUCACGGUGCAUAGGCGAUCUGAGAGGGUGAGCAGUCACGCUGGGGCUGAGACGCGACGAAGACUCCUGCGGGAGGCAACAGUAGGGAAGAUUAGGCGAUGGACGAAAGUGUGACCGAGCAACGCGGCGUGAGUGAAGAAGGUUUUCGGAACGUGGAACUCUGUUGUUAGAGAAGCGGUAUCUAACCGGAAAGCAACGGCUAACGACGUGCCAGCAGCCGCGGUAAUAC